Molecule: microRNA precursor, 88 nt
Filed under: Canis lupus dingo (dingo)
Lineage: Eukaryota; Metazoa; Chordata; Mammalia; Carnivora; Canidae
Description: mir-8799 microRNA precursor family
Rfam family: mir-8799 microRNA precursor family
Source: Rfam by way of RNAcentral
GGGCGGCCAGAUCCUGGGCUGUGUCCCCGGCGCCCUGUGCUCCCGGGCCUGUGCUGUUGGAUUUGUGCUCCCGGCUGCGCAGCCGCCU